Non-coding RNA from Paramuricea clavata, 365 nucleotides. The record is from the annotation of a GenBank genome assembly. Lineage: Eukaryota; Metazoa; Cnidaria; Anthozoa; Malacalcyonacea; Plexauridae.
GCGAAUAUUUCUAACGCUUUAACGACAACAUACUGUAGUAAAAACAUACCUUCGGACGUCGUAACAAACUUAUCGCUCUUCUUCUUUCGCUUCCAUUUCCAGGGUCGAAAAAACCUUCCGAUACUAGCAGCGAAUUUGGAUCUCCUCGACGGUGGUGGCGUUCCGGGUGCUAGGCUGGCAGAACCUCUGGAGGACGAAUUAUGAAACACAGGCGUUAUAUUAUUUAUUGUUGGUUCGCUAGUGGCUCUCUCCCUUGAAUUCACACCAUUCUGUGGUCUGACAGCGCCAUGAUUUGAAUCUGCCAUUGAAUUCUUAUUGUUCCCCAAUUACUUCUCCUUCGUUCUCGCCGACAUUUUGAAGUUCUG